AAGGGUAUAGCUCAGUAGUAGAGUGCGUGCUUAGUAUGCACAAGAUCCUGGGUUCAAUCCCCAGUGCCUCCA
Molecule: transfer RNA, 72 nt
Filed under: Camelus bactrianus (Bactrian camel)
Lineage: Eukaryota; Metazoa; Chordata; Mammalia; Artiodactyla; Camelidae
Also listed under: 2 other names
Rfam family: tRNA
About the family: Transfer RNA (tRNA) molecules are approximately 80 nucleotides in length. Their secondary structure includes four short double-helical elements and three loops (D, anti-codon, and T loops). Further hydrogen bonds mediate the characteristic L-shaped molecular structure. tRNAs have two regions of fundamental functional importance: the anti-codon, which is responsible for specific mRNA codon recognition, and the 3' end, to which the tRNAs corresponding amino acid is attached (by aminoacyl-tRNA synthetases). tRNAs cope with the degeneracy of the genetic code in two manners: having more than one tRNA (with a specific anti-codon) for a particular amino acid; and 'wobble' base-pairing, i.e. permitting non-standard base-pairing at the 3rd anti-codon position.
Source: Rfam by way of RNAcentral